Molecule: ribosomal RNA, 241 nt
Filed under: uncultured Staphylococcus sp.
Lineage: Bacteria; Bacillati; Bacillota; Bacilli; Caryophanales; Staphylococcaceae
Description: partial 16S ribosomal RNA
Rfam family: Bacterial small subunit ribosomal RNA
Source: RNAcentral
CGGACGGGUGAGUAACACGUGGAUAACCUACCUAUAAGACUGGGAUAACUUCGGGAAACCGGAGCUAAUACCGGAUAAUAUUUUGAACCGCAUGGUUCAAAAGUGAAAGACGGUCUUGCUGUCACUUAUAGAUGGAUCCGCGCUGCAUUAGCUGGUUGGUAAGGUAACGGCUUACCAAGGCAACGAUGCGUAGCCGACCUGAGAGGGUGAUCGGCCACACUGUAACUGAGACACGGUCCAG